Molecule: transfer RNA, 71 nt
Filed under: Loxodonta africana (African savanna elephant)
Lineage: Eukaryota; Metazoa; Chordata; Mammalia; Proboscidea; Elephantidae
Rfam family: tRNA
About the family: Transfer RNA (tRNA) molecules are approximately 80 nucleotides in length. Their secondary structure includes four short double-helical elements and three loops (D, anti-codon, and T loops).
Source: Rfam by way of RNAcentral
GCAGUGGUGGUUCAAUGGCAGAAUUCUCAUCUUCUAUGUGGUAGACCCAGGUUAGAUUCCCAGCCUCUGGG